RNAcentral lists this long non-coding RNA (601 nucleotides) under Sarcophilus harrisii (Tasmanian devil). RNAcentral describes it as "lncRNA (ENSSHAG00000025248.1)". Lineage: Eukaryota; Metazoa; Chordata; Mammalia; Dasyuromorphia; Dasyuridae. The record is from RNAcentral.
GGGCCGCUUGCGGAACCAGAGGGUUCCGGAAUAGCUGGAAGACCUGUCAGGACUACUUAGUAGUUAGACAUCUUGCACAGUUCCAUCUCUGAGAUUCUGUAAUUCUGUGUCGCUGCGUUCAAAUCACUUCCCCUUUCCCAGGGACCUCAAUAUGCUCACCUAUAAAGGCUUGUCUAAGGACCCAGCUUGCCCUUGAGAAGGGCGGAAGGAAGAUGGGAGCUGAGUACUGGCCCUACCGAGGGCCAGCGCCUAAGUUGGAAACAAGCAGAGCUGCGGAGGGGAGAAAACUCUAAAGCUCUUGCAUUGCUCACUUGAAAGAAGUGGCUGGGUUCUUUGCCUUCUUCUGGGCUCAGCCCAGCCCCCUUGGGGUGGACCUCUACAGCUGUAUCCAGGCAGGCUUGGGGCCGAGGGAGUGAGACUCGGUAGCGGUUUGCAGUAGAACAGGAGUUACAUCUUUUUGACCUCUUCUGCCCCACCUCCUCUCCCAGGGGGCGCAGAUGGUGAGGCCCACAGACCAUUCCACUCUGUAGGGAGCACGGGGUGGGAUUGAGGGGGCUGCGCAGCAGGAGCCGGGGCCCCGCGCUUCUAGGAGCAGAUGGUG